ACGGAUCUUUGAAAGCACGGCCCGACUCCAAGCUCUCUUUGACCCGACAACAGAUGCCAUGGAUGCAUAAGCAGCAUGUUUUACCCUUCGUGAAUUGGUUUUAUCCUGCUGGUUCAUUUUUCUAAGGGAGUGAAGAAACCGAUAAGCAAAUCUACUUCUGAUGAUGCAACUUCUUGUAGUAGUCAUAGAAUUAAUUUUAGGGUUUAAUUGGAAAAAACAAAAGGGUUUUUGGAGAAGAUAUGUUUUUUUAACAAAGGGACCUUAGCUUGUUGUUUGAUCACAAGGACGAUAAAAAAAGAAAGCUUAAGUUUUCUCUGACUUCUGACACACACAAUAUACUUUUAUAACAAAAAUAAAAUAAACAAGAGGGGUGAGGUGGUGUGGGUGCAUGGGUGGGUAGGAGAAGGGAAUAUGAAUAAAAGGAAAGAGAGAAAGGGUAAAGGUGAGAGGA
RNAcentral lists this unclassified non-coding RNA (451 nucleotides) under Hevea brasiliensis (rubber tree). Lineage: Eukaryota; Viridiplantae; Streptophyta; Magnoliopsida; Malpighiales; Euphorbiaceae. The record is from RNAcentral.